AUUUCUAUAUAAAUGACUUGCUUUAGGCAUACAAAGUUGAAUGUACUGGUAUUUGCUCCAAGAAACUAAUCCAAAAAUUGAGCUUUCUGUGGACAGAAUCUACCAUGCCCAGGGACAUCUAUUGAUUUUAAUGAGGCUUUAUACAAGACCAAAUAUCUCCCCAUGUGGAAAUCCAUGAAUCAAAUUUGAAACUAUUUAGGACUAGUAAUAGGAAAGAACGAGAGUAAGGAAAGACUAUGCUGAUAAACCUCUCAGAGAGAAUCACAACUGUGGGCCAUUUUGAGAAGAUGUUCUGCUUCUUAAGGACAGCACUGACAAUGUCUACAUGCAUGUACUCCAGGGUAGAGUGGAUUUUUUGAACUCUAAGGUUAGCAGCAAAAUGAGCAACUGGGAGUCAAAGAGUAAGAACGCUUUCAGUACCCACAGUAUUUCAAGAAAGAAGACUUCUGCACUGAACCCUUGCCAAGAAUCUGGCCAGCUCUGCUAGAUGGCCAGCAGGGGCGUGUCUGGAAAAAAUGGUUGUUUUCCCACCUCUAUUUGAGAGAUAAAACUCUAGGAGGACUGAAAUGGAGAAUGAAAGCAUCUGCAGGAACUGAGCAGGGACAGUCCAGAAAUUUGAAAAUGAAAGACCAAGAUUUUUAAAAUAGACAAAUGAAAGGAGAAGAAAAGACAACAAUGACAUUUCUAAUUCUUUAGGUAAGUAGAUAGUAAAUAUGAAUAUAAAUUGUGAAAAAAAUUAAUCUUCUAAAUCCAAUGAAUAUGCAAUUUUUAUGUAGCACAGAAGAAAUUAAAUGUUUAAUUCUAGGUCUUUGCAAUUGGAAAAGUUAAAUUCAGUUAUCUUUACUGAAGAAAAGUUCUCCCACUUACCAGUCAUACCGUGCUACAACGUCUUGCGCCACUGUACAACUUAACAACAAAGCAGCACUAACAUUUUAGGUUAGGAGAUAUGAUUGUAUAAUUGAGCAAGUCAGAAACGUUAAAGAAAAAACAAACAAACAAAAAAACCCAGGUGUGAUUGUUCUGUAAAUAAUUUUUGGGUUAUACAUAAAUAUGGAAAUACUGAUGUUUGUCUCUAGUCUUAUCAGAAAAGAAGUAAAAAAAAAAAAAGUGAAUAUCUUACUAAAACAAUCAGAAGUGUCCAGGUGGUGCUCUUAGAGUACAUUAUUAA
Molecule: long non-coding RNA, 1168 nt
Filed under: Coturnix japonica (Japanese quail)
Lineage: Eukaryota; Metazoa; Chordata; Aves; Galliformes; Phasianidae
Description: lncRNA (ENSCJPG00005010582.1)
Source: RNAcentral